CUCAGUUGAGUGUGCUGAGUCACCAGGAGAGUGCCUGAGAGCCAAAGGUUGGAUGGAGAUCUAAGGCGCCAUGUGAUCCUGGGAAGAGGACGCCAGUGGAAGGUGUCCUCAAUAAGAGAUUCAGGAGAAAGACCACUGACCCAAGAAGACCACUGACCCAACUCAUGGCCAAAUGAAUCAGAAGUACUGGAGGUUGGAGACAGAGAUCAAAUGGCAGCACUGUUGGAUUCUGCUGUUUCUCUGUGAUCGAAAUGAACAACCAAAACUCAGAAUUUCUCUUGUUCUUAUGUUCUUCAUUCAUGCACCAUGAAGAAGAAAUUUCUCAGUGAGGAGAGAGUAGCAGUUACUGUGUAAGUGGGAGACCAUGGCUUGCUGCAUCUCUGGAGUAAACUCUCAGAAAUGUUGGGUGCUGCUUUGACGUACACAAAGAAUGGGAAAGGAAAGCAGCCCUCUGUGAGGAACGUGGAUGGAUAGUUUGGCAGAUGCUUCAACUGCUGUGUGGCAAGGCCAAGAGGAAGGAAAAUAUAUUCCAUUUUGGAGAUGACAUUUUCAAGUUUCACAUUCUAAUUAUUAGACACUUUCUCACAGUGUUUGCACUGUUUCAUUUUUAGAUGAAAAAUGAUUUAACACCCCAGUGUUAGAACUCUUCAUGAUGACAUAUUAUGUUCAGCUUGGGUCAUUCAAGUUCAAAGGUCCAGAGGACUGGGAAGACUGCUGCAAAGUGGUGUCUUCUGGACACAAGGAUGUUGCACCAAUAAACUCACAGCAGCUGUGGAAGACUGAAUAUUGAGGAGGAGGUACAGGUGGUCCACAGCUACUGGAGAAGGAAGAGUGGGUUUUCUUCAGGGAUGGGGACACUGGUAGGUUGCCGAUGCUCCAGUGGUUAUUCAAAGUACAAGAAGAGCACAUGAAUUUGAGAGCGAGAUGUUUGUGUGAGGAACUGAGGAGUUGUUGGGAAUAGGGUUGGUUAUGAUGAAAUGAGUUGUAUUUGGGUGAAGAUAAUAGCUACUUCCUGUGGGAGGAAAUGUGGAAGAACACUAGGCCAUUUUGCCAAUUCUUUUCCUGAAUUCAUAUGCCUUUCAUGAAAUCAAAGAUUAUUUUGAAAAAGAAGACAUAAUAAAAGCAUAGACAUAAUAAAACAAUGUAAUAUAUAAAAUGAAAUAGAGUAGUUGAUUUUCCUUUUUCUCUAGCAUUUGGUGUUUUUUUAACAGUAAGUGAACUGAGACCAACAGAGCAUUUCUCACCAUGACUGGGCUCCCUGGCAGAUGUUAGAGGGGUACUGGGUGGUGGCUGCAUGCUGUUCUUGUUAUCUGAAUGCUGAAGCCCUCCCCAGUCCUGACCAUCCUUCUUGCUCUUGGGGAAUGCUAGCCAUGAAUCUGCACUUAGAUGAAGGCCUUCACCUACUGAGACAACAAGCUGACAUAGUUUUGCAAGGUGUGUGUGUGUGUGUGUGUGUGUGUGUGUGUGUGUGUGUGUGUGUAAGUUUAUGAGGUCAGAAAUGCCAGGGUGUGUUAGUGUACUGACUGUAAUUGUUAGAUUUGAAAAAUGGGGUGAACCAAGUAAAAGAACAAAGAC
RNAcentral lists this long non-coding RNA (1575 nucleotides) under Cricetulus griseus (Chinese hamster). Its description in RNAcentral is "lncRNA (ENSCGRG00015037184.1)". Lineage: Eukaryota; Metazoa; Chordata; Mammalia; Rodentia; Cricetidae. The record is from RNAcentral.